Molecule: long non-coding RNA, 1177 nt
Organism: Cercocebus atys (sooty mangabey)
Lineage: Eukaryota; Metazoa; Chordata; Mammalia; Primates; Cercopithecidae
Exons: 3
Source: RefSeq, a predicted model, not a curated record
CACCUCGGCCUCCCAAAGUGCUGGGAUUACAGGCAUGAGCCACUGCGCCUGGUCGGUUACUGUUAUAUAGUUAUUCCAUUAUGGGAGUAGAUCAUGAUUUAAUUAUUCAUUCUCUGACCUAAGGAUGUUUGGAGCUGUUUUUAGGUUUUUUCUUUCACAGUGCUGCUGAGAACAUUCCGGUUCGUAACUGGACCCACAGAUGCAAUGGUGUUUAUCUAGGAGUGGAAUUGCUGGAUUAUGGAGUAAGGCUAAAUUGUUUUCCAAAGCGGCUGUACCUGCUGAUACUCCCUUUGGCAGUAUAGAAGUAUUCCUGUUGAUCCACAGCCUUCCCAGCCCAUGCUUGGUAUCUUCUUAAGUUUUGUUGAUUUAGAGGGUGGUAUCUCAUUGUGGUCCCCCUCAAUGUUCCAGUGUAUUCUUCAAAGCAGCCAUUUUUUGUCUUCGCCAAGGUUAAGAUUACUCUCUCCUCUUCAGAGUCUGUUUCCAGGCCCACCCUCUACCCUUCUUGACUAUGGCAGAAAAGGAUGCAGCCUUCCUUCUCUCUCAAGCCUGGGCUCUUUUCUCUCUAACGUAGGAGCCUACUUCUCCCCUUCCUCCCCAUCAUCUCCAGUGUCCCCAUAUUUAUGAUUUCCAGAUUUCAUAAAUGAGUAGUGUGGUAGGUAGUGUUGGUCACAUACCCAAUCUCUGGCUAUUUUCAACCUCUUCUUCCUUGCCUUCCUCUUCCUAUAGAGUCUGAAAAUGCUGGAUAGCUUCCUGGCUGCCCUUGCAACUAGACAUGGCCAUGGGACCGAGUUCUGGCCAAUGCGAUACAGGGGCAUGUUUACUGGGAGGCUUCUGAGAAAGAUUUAUCUCCCUGAAAAAAGGAAGUAGGUUCUCCCUCCUUCUGCCUGCCAUGGAUGUUUAUACAUGAGAACAUGAUGUUUGGAACUGCAGCAGCCACCUUGCAAGUCCGAGCAGUUCCUGGGGCACCUGUCAGAUGCUCACUGUGUCAUGGUGUCUGAGCCAGAUUUCCCACACAAGACCAUAAAGUUCUUUACGAUUGGAACCAUGCCUCUCCCUAUCUCAACCUUGGGGAACUGAAUGGAGAUGUUCCCUUUCCUGUCCACAAUCUGCAGGAGCUCCGGCGAAGCGCCUCACUGGCCACCAAGGUCUUUAUCCAGAGAGACUACAGCGAUGGGAC